GACGAAGGAUGCAAGCGUUAUCCGGAUUCAUUGGGUUUAAAGGGAGCGUAGGCGGCCUUAUAAGUCAGUGGUGAAAUCUCUCGGCUUAACUGAGAAAUUGCCAUUGAUACUGUAGGGCUUGAGUACAGAUGCCGUUGGCGGAAUAUGACAUGUAGUGGUGAAAUACAUAGAGAUGUCAUAGAACACCGAUUGCGAAGGCAGCUAACGAAACUAUAACUGACACUGAGGCUCGAAAGUGCGGGGAUCAAACAGG
Molecule: ribosomal RNA, 253 nt
Filed under: uncultured bacterium
Lineage: Bacteria
Description: partial 16S ribosomal RNA
Rfam family: Bacterial small subunit ribosomal RNA
Source: RNAcentral